This 1008-nucleotide long non-coding RNA is filed under the name Phasianus colchicus (ring-necked pheasant). RNAcentral describes it as "lncRNA (ENSPCLG00000016238.1)". Lineage: Eukaryota; Metazoa; Chordata; Aves; Galliformes; Phasianidae. The record is from RNAcentral.
AUGCAGUGCUGUGCUGUGCUGUGUGUUGCUCUGUGCAGUGCUGUGCCAUGCAGUGCAGUGCAGUGCUGUGCUGUGUGUUGCUCUGUGCAGUGCUGUGCCAUGCAGUGCUGCUCCGUGCGUUGCUCUGUGCUGUGCUGCAAAGCAUGGCGUUGCUUUGCACCGUGCCGUGCUGCAUUCCACCAUGCAACCUUUGCAAAAUGGCAUUGCACCGUGCAGCCAUGCACAGUGCCAUGUUGCAUUGCACCAUGCGACCCUGCACCAUGCGACCCUGCGCCAUGCAACCUUGCACCGUGCAACCUUGCAUUGUGCAACCUUGAAGAUGGCACUGCACCAUGCCAUGUUGCAUUGCACCGUGCUACCUUGCACCACCCCAUGCAACCCUGCACCAUGCCAUGUUGCACUGCACCAUGCAAACCUGCACCACGCCAUGUUGCAUUGCGCCAUGCAACCUUGCACCAUGCAACCCUGCACCAUACCAUGUUGCACUGCACCAUGCAAACCUGCACCACACCACGCAGCCUUGCACUAUGCAGCUUUGCACCACGUCACGUUGCAUUGCACCCUGCAACCUUGCAUCAUGCAAACUUGCACGCCACAUUGCAUUGCACCACGCAAACCUGCACCACACCAUGUUGCAUUGCGCCGUGCAGCCUUGCACCAUGCCGUGUUGCAUGGCACCAUGCAACCUUGAACCAUGCAGCCUUGCACCACGCCACGUUGCAUUGUGCCAUGCAACUCUGCCCCACGUCACGUUGUGCUGCAUCGUGCGACUCUGCAAGCCACGUUGCAUCGCACGAUGCAACCCUGCACCACACCACGUUGCACUGCACCAUGCAACCUUGCACCGUGCCACGCUGCACUGCUGCAUGCUGCCCUGCAACCCUGCCGUGUCCCCGCAGCCCGGAGCAUGAUGUCCUACAUCAAGCAGCCCCACUAUGCUGUCAAUGGGCUGACGCUGGCUGGACCAGGCAUGGAUUUGCUGCAUUCUGCUGUGGGGUACCCCGGUGA